Molecule: small nucleolar RNA, 123 nt
Organism: Meriones unguiculatus (Mongolian gerbil)
Lineage: Eukaryota; Metazoa; Chordata; Mammalia; Rodentia; Muridae
Source: Ensembl
AACACUUGUGUGUGUUUGCUCAACUGGUGGGCAGAGGCAUGGGACAUGGGUGCAAAGACAAGUCUUCUGCAACCAAGAACUCAUCAUUUAGUAUGAGUUUUGAUACAUAUAAUAAGGAACAUG